Pimephales promelas (fathead minnow) is the source of this 2286-nucleotide non-coding RNA. The record is from RefSeq and is a predicted model, not a curated record. Lineage: Eukaryota; Metazoa; Chordata; Actinopteri; Cypriniformes; Leuciscidae.
UUUCGCAACGGUUUAAUACGCAUCAUUCUCAGUGUGCAAGGUUUCUGUGCGUGACCAAUUUUUAGGAUGAUAAAUAUGAAAAAACAUGAAAAUUUCGGGUUCAUUAUGCAAGGACCUUAACAACGAUCUCUUGCUUGUAUAUACUCUUGUGGGCGGAGCAAUGAAGGGAAGGGUGUGUUUGUUUAGGUUGAAAUUGCUUACUGCACCUUUAAGGGGAAUAUUGACUUGACUUUACGAUCAAAACAAAGUCAUAUAGGUUUGGAACAACUUAAGGAUGAGUAAAUGAUGGAAUUUUUAUUUUUGGGUGAACUAUCCCUUUUAAGAGGACCGCAAUAUGGCAAAAAAAAAAAAUCAGUCUCUGUAAUAUGUAAUUGCAGCAGGCAUACGGAAAAGUAAAUUCUGGUAAAUAUUUGCAUCAAGAACACUGAAAAUGUACCUUUUUCGGGUGACAGAUCAUUAACAUAGACACAAAUGGUUAGUUAAACCUGCCUCCUCCCUCAGAUGCUGGAACUGCUGAAUUAAUACAUUCUAUAAAAGGCAUUUGACGAUUUAGCUUAAGAUUAUUGUGCUACUCUGAUACUAAGUGUAAGUUUAAAAAGGUUUGUUUACGGAAGCAGCUACUGUAGCAGAAUUCGAGGCAUAUCAUUUAAGACAUUCAGUGUGUGAAUAUAAUACAGUUUCAUCUGAGAUUUCAGACAUGCUGCUGUUGCAUUGAAAUAACUGUUCAAAUGUGGUUCAAAUACUGUGGUUUGGAUGCUAACAUCAAUACAACGUUUGGCCCUAGUGAUAUACACAUGAAAGCUCAUUGAGUGUUGAACAAGAGUAAUACCCCAUCAUGUCUUAAUUCAGGACACUGAAAGGCACAGAAUCCAGACCAGUGAGCUAAAAGGAAUGAGGAAGGCAAACUAGAGCAGCUCUCCCCCUGGGCUGGCAUGACAUAGUGAUGAUAGGAAGAGCCUCCAGGCUUGUUGCGCCAGUGUUGUGUCAGGGUUAGCCAGGUGUUCUCCAACCCUGUGCAUACAUGUAGCAGUUCUAGAUGUUUAUCAAUGAAGUAUGAUCUAGGUAAGGCUGGCAUUAGAGCUGCUAGUAUUGCUGUUUCUCUUCUGACCGCUCAACACGAUACUGGGUACCUGAAGGCCCGUCUGCACUGAGAAACUCCCAUUCCACACCUGUAGGGGGUAAAAGAGAGCAUGAGGCUGAUGUGUUUUUGUAGUCGCAAAAAAUCGUAUCACUGUGUAUACAAGUGCUGAGGAGUCUUCCUGAGCUUAAAUUCAGAUAAUGGUGACGGGUGUUUCAUUUACGACAUGUGCUGCAAGCAGUAGACCAAUCACGACAGACUCGGCCAUCUUGACAUCCUUGCAGAAUCCUUUAUUUUUUUUACAGUCUAUGUUUCAGACACUGUGAGAAAAGAGGUGAUGCUGCAAUGUAUAUUUUGAGAAAAUGUAAGUGUCUUUUGACUUUGGAUGCAUGUAAACCUAUGGCAGACGUAACCUUUAAAAUAGCAUAAUUGUGGCACUAUAAAAUCACUGCAUAAAGCAAUGCUCUUGCAACCAUACAUAUGCAGUCAAACGUGUUAUGACUUGUAUUUUUUUCUGCGCAUCUUGUAUCAUGACCUGGCAUUUUUAUGAUGAAGUGUCAAGUUAAAAAUAGACCUCUUCUUUCUGUUCCGUUCCGCUCAGUCAAGAUGUGUUGAAUGCAAGAAUGCAUCUUACGUAAAGGACUCUGAAACACAUCUGAUUGGCUUAAUUAUACAAGGCUCAUACAGUCUGAGUAGCUGACAAGACUGUGUUCAAAAUAUCCCUAAUUUAUGAGUGAUUUGUUUGUAAAAUACAAAAUGAGCCACAGUAUAUUGUAUCUUACCAUAAAGGCUGGUAUUACAGGCUGCUGGAACUUGGUUCUGAAGGUAUGAAGGAGAGUUUUGGUUCUGGAGUUGUAAAAAGACAAUGUGCCUGAAAUAGGUGAGGUAAAACAAGAACAAACUAGUUAGUAGUUACUAAUUAGUGGUCGACUGAAUGGUUAAUUCCAAUAACUCAAAGAGCGAUGACCAAUGGAAGAUAUAAAUUACGUAAUGUGAUAAUUGAUAAAUGUAUAUUAGCUGUAAUUUAAAGAUAGAAAAUAACAAAAAACAAAUGUUUUGACAUAUUAUUAAAUAAAUUAGGAAGAACCAAUUUAAAAAUGAAAUAAUAUAAAAAAUAAACAGAUUUAUACUUUAUAUGAAAACUUAUUGAUUCUGUAAUCACAUUUGUGUAUUUUUCACAAAUAAAGAAAUUUAGACAAAAAAAAAAA